AUUGAAUGCUGGCGGCAUGCCUUACACAUGCAAGUCGAACGGCAGCACGGGAGCAAUCCUGGUGGCGAGUGGCGAACGGGUGAGUAAUAUAUCGGAACGUGCCCAGUCGUGGGGGAUAACGUAGCGAAAGCUACGCUAAUACCGCAUACGAUCUAUGGAUGAAAGCGGGGGAUCGCAAGACCUCGCGCGAUUGGAGCGGCCGAUAUCAGAUUAGGUAGUUGGUGAGGUAAAGGCUCACCAAGCCGACGAUCUGUAGCUGGUCUGAGAGGACGACCAGCCACACUGGGACUGAGACACGGCCCAGACUCCUACGGGAGGCAGCAGUGGGGAAUAUUGGACAAUGGGCGAAAGCCUGAUCCAGCAAUGCCGCGUGAGUGAUGAAGGCCU
RNAcentral lists this ribosomal RNA (387 nucleotides) under uncultured bacterium. RNAcentral's name for it is "bacterial SSU rRNA". It matches the Rfam family "Bacterial small subunit ribosomal RNA", at positions 30 to 417 of the family's 1533-position model. The record is from RNAcentral.